CACGUGGGUUUUGACUUCUACAACCAUGGUCUGCACUUCCAUGAGAGAGGCAUCCUGGGACAAGAUGGUCUUCAUGUCUCUUCUAAAAAACCUUCUAUAAGACAUACCGACGAGUUUUAUGUGCGCUUGUCCUGGACAUCCGGAGUUCUGUCUGCGUGGAGCCUAGCAAACUCCACGUGAUUGUUCGUGUUUUCUGUUUGUAACCGCAACUCAAGCAAGUUCUCAGCCUGCACUGCGACCAUCUCGGUGUCACAAAAUGCUGAGACGCAGGAGUCGAGGUAGAUGUCAUCCACCUAGACUUUAAGAAGGCCUUCAAUAUGGUAUCACAUUCUGUUCCAGUAAAUAAACUGACAUGCUGUGAUGUAGAUGAUUACACGGUCAGCUUGGACUUUGUUUAGAAUACUCUCCACCAGAAAUACCCUCCACAAGAAAUCUCCUUUCUGCUCAGGGUAGGGCUGGGGCACAGAGGAAAGGAAAGCAGCAUUCUAGGGUGCUACCUUGGGCUGAGUUGAAUGGUACAGAAGUGAAAAAAGGAUGCUAGAAUGGUGGUACCAUCUUGCAGCCAUGUGAUCAGCUGCCCUGAAAGCUGCAAUGG
This is a long non-coding RNA of Alligator mississippiensis (American alligator), 595 nucleotides long. RefSeq lists it as uncharacterized. Lineage: Eukaryota; Metazoa; Chordata; Crocodylia; Alligatoridae. The record is from RefSeq and is a predicted model, not a curated record. The transcript has 4 exons.